AUUGAACGCUGGCGGCAUGCUUUACACAUGCAAGUCGGACGAGUGGCGAACGGGUGAGUAAUAUAUCGGAACGUACCGUGUAAUGGGGGAUAACUAAUCGAAAGAUUAGCUAAUACCGCAUAUUAUUCGAGCGGCCCAUAUGUGAUUAGGUAGUUGGUGGGGUAAAGGCCUACCAAGGCGACGAUCGGUAGCGGGUCUGAGAGGAUGAUCAGCCAAACUGGGACUGAGACACGGCCCAGACUCCUACGGGAGGCAGCAGUGGGGAAUUGUGCGCAAUGGGGGCAACCCUGAUCCAGCCAUGCCGCGUGAAUGAAGAAGGCCUUCGGGUUGUAAAGUACUUUCGUUAGGGAGGCGUUACCUGAAGAAUAAGCACCGGCUAACUCCGUGCCAGCAGCCGCGGUAAUAC
This 406-nucleotide ribosomal RNA is filed under the name uncultured bacterium. Its description in RNAcentral is "partial 16S ribosomal RNA". It matches the Rfam family "Bacterial small subunit ribosomal RNA", at positions 30 to 526 of the family's 1533-position model. The record is from RNAcentral.